UACGACGGACCCGAGCGUUAUCCGGAUUUAUUGGGUUUAAAGGGUGCGUAGGCGGAUUUACAAGUCAGUGGUGAAAUCUCCCGGCUUAACCGGGAAACUGCCAUUGAAACUGUUUAUCUUGAGUACAUUUGAGGCGGGCGGAAUGUGUCAUGUAGAGGUGAAAUUCUUAGAUAUGACACAGAACACCAAUUGCGAAGGCAGCUCGCUAAACUGUAACUGACGCUGAGGCACGAAAGCGUGGGGAUCAAACAGG
This 253-nucleotide ribosomal RNA is filed under the name uncultured bacterium. Its description in RNAcentral is "partial 16S ribosomal RNA". It matches the Rfam family "Bacterial small subunit ribosomal RNA", at positions 524 to 776 of the family's 1533-position model. The record is from RNAcentral.